AAAGAGCCCCACGUGAAAGGAAUAGCUGCACCAUCACGACCCCGAGUCAUGCGCGGGCAGCCGUGAGGCUGCACGUGAAGCGUUGACAGGGGGAAACGCAGGCCAGCUAUAGAGCUCCGCAAUCACCCAUCCGGGGUGCCGACCUCGAGAACCGGGAGAUCUCAGCGGCACCCGCUGGCAGAUUAGCUGACGGGUCGGUUAGGGAAGGUCCGUGGCCGUAAUCCU
RNAcentral lists this unclassified non-coding RNA (225 nucleotides) under Desulfotruncus arcticus DSM 17038. Lineage: Bacteria; Bacillati; Bacillota; Clostridia; Eubacteriales; Desulfallaceae. The record is from RNAcentral.